CAGAGAAGGAAUUAUUGAAAAGUAUCAGUUUAGUGAGAUUUGCAGAAGCACACAAGGCUGGAGGAAUUUCGCCUGAUAAUGAGUUAGAAGACACGUCCAGCCACUCCAGUGGAGAGUUCUGUCCAAGGUUCACCGGUCCAGAUAUUCCAGUGACGUAAUGUUGCCAAUCUCAGGGGGAAUCUUUCCUUCGAACUUGUUCUUGUACAAGAAAAGCGUAUGAAGUUUUUUCAACUUGCCCAAUUGUGGUGGAAUCUGUCCACUGAGACUACCCACAGCCAAGUCUAGAUACUGAAGAUUGGUGAGGUUGCCAAACUCUGAAGGGAUCUCACCUUCAAACUCAUUGUACCCAAGAAUUAGUGUCUCUAGAGAAGCAAGUUCUCCAAGUUCUCCUGGAAUCUUCCCUGUAAAGUUAUUCCCUGAAAGCCCAAGAAAUUUGAGCUUCUGUAAAUUCUUGAAACUACUGGGGAUUGAACCUUCGAAGUAGCCCCCACGAAAAUCAAGGCUCUCGAGCAACGUUGCAUUUCCAAGAUCCUCAGGAAGAAAACCCAAAAAAUUAUUAUUUGACGCGUUAACUAGUCUCAAUCCUGUGGCACUCCCAAGUCCCGUGGGAAAGCUGCCAGUGAAGUAGUUCUGGCUCACAUCAAAGCUCUUCAAGGAAGUGAGAUUGGACAGUGAUUUUGGCAAUGAAGAAGCGAAAUCGUUGCAACUUAUGCUGAAAAAAGAUAGACUUGAAAGCGCCUGAAUGUGGUCCGAAACACGACCACUAAGGUUCAUGUUGGAGAGGUCAAGUCUCUCUACGAAGCCUUUAGAGUUGCACAAUACCCCACUCCAGCUACAGUGGCUUGACCAUGAACCAUUACGGGUCAGAUUGGUGGGUGCUUGCCAAUCCUUCAGAUUCUUCAUUGGAUCAACGAGACUGGAUUUGAAUGUGAGAAGUGCUGACAAUUCAUCACUAAUUAAUGCAGAUUGAGCUCCCUCAGCAAAAACAAGAGAGAAGCCAAUGAAACAGUGGAAUAACAAGUGGGGCUGCAUUUUAAGAGGGCCUUCGUUUUCCUGUGAGUUGGUUCCACUUAAAGGUAUCGCAUUUUGCAGAGCAGUGAACUGCGGAAGAAGAUGGAAGGCGGAGAGAAAUAUAAUUAGAAGCUCUGAGAGACAAAUUAGUUUAUAGUUAAGGCAAUGAUAGACUAGUUUAUUGGAUCGACGUGGGUACUUGGGAUCCGGACCUGCUGAUCAUGUGUGACUGAUGACUGUCAAUCUUUGGACUCAUUGGAAAUAUCCCCGACAUCAUAACAUGUGCAGAAUGUGUUCCAGAGCUGAUUGUCCUUAUAAUAAGGUCAACACAAUUGAGCCAUCCAUACUGAUCUUAAAUUUUAGUCCCUUGUUGGCCCAUAAUGUUUUUUAAGGCUUUGUUAUCAAAGUUACAUGGAUUGUUCACGUA
Molecule: long non-coding RNA, 1438 nt
Organism: Prosopis cineraria
Lineage: Eukaryota; Viridiplantae; Streptophyta; Magnoliopsida; Fabales; Fabaceae
Exons: 2
Source: RefSeq, a predicted model, not a curated record